This 253-nucleotide ribosomal RNA is filed under the name uncultured bacterium. Its description in RNAcentral is "partial 16S ribosomal RNA". It matches the Rfam family "Bacterial small subunit ribosomal RNA", at positions 524 to 776 of the family's 1533-position model. The record is from RNAcentral.
UACGGAGGGGGCUAGCGUUAUUCGGAAUUACUGGGCGUAAAGCGCACGUAGGCGGAUCUGCAAGUCAGAUGUGAAAUCCCAGGGCUCAACCUUGGAACUGCCUUUGAAACUGCGGGUCUUGAGUUCGAGAGAGGUGAGUGGAAUUCCGAGUGUAGAGGUGAAAUUCGUAGAGAUUCGGAGGAACACCAGUGGCGAAGGCAGCUCCCUGGGUCAAUACUGACGCUGAGGUGCGAAAGCGUGGGGAGCAAACAGG